This 3966-nucleotide long non-coding RNA is filed under the name Mus musculus (house mouse). Its description in RNAcentral is "long non-coding RNA chr17:42503775-42507741". The record is from RNAcentral. Lineage: Eukaryota; Metazoa; Chordata; Mammalia; Rodentia; Muridae.
UUAUCUUACCUGUGUUCCUAACCUUUUUUCCUCCUUCCAAAAAGCACCACAAGAAAAAGAAACGGGCCAAACGAAAGGAGAGAGAGGAAAUUGAAUGCAUAGAAAUCCAAGAGAACCCUGAUCACGUCACCACAGUCUGAGGGUGGAGACUUUUUCUUUUCCAGUAUUGCACAAUGAUGCAGGGCUAGUAAGGCUCAGACCUCAGCUGCUUGGGCUGGCCAGGGGUAAAAAGGCAGGUCAGAUCAAGAGUGCAUUUUUCAUGACGCAUCCAAGGGUCUGCUUCUUUUGAUGGAAGAGAUAAUAAAAGGAGGUGAAGUUCUUUACAACCUUGUGCUCCAUGAGAGAUAAUUCUCCAGACAUUGAUCUUAGAGCUUUUCUGAGAAAUGGAUGGAUUGGUGUGGUCAGAUGGAAGGCCGAAAGAUCUAAAGAUUCUUAGAAGAAAUGGAGAAGAGAGAAUAGGUGGUCUCCAGAUAGGGGAAAGUACAAAAAGAAAUGUCUAAUUUGUCAUGUCACUUCAUGUUUUCAUGAACAGAUCAAUCAAAGGAAACCUAUGCACAUGGGAAGUACACAUUUAAUCCUGUAUAAACCAAAGGACCGGACCUCCCAAUCCACUUUGUGUGUACAUAUAAGUAUACAUAUACAUAAUAUGUCUUGAGUGUGUGUUGGUGGUUGGAUGAAAGAAGAUGUUCAUUUGCAGAUAGGCUGGCCUUUCUCAAAAAGUCAAAUCAACAUUAGUCAAAUAUAUAACCUCAUUAGGGAUGAUACAAAAUAUAUAAUUGGUCACUUGAAAUCAACUCAACUGUCUAAAUAGCAAGAGAAUUAUCAACUGUGUGAUAACAAGAUAGACAGAAAUUUGAAUCCAUUAAAUUCUACCUAUCAUGUUGUUGGUCACUGAGAUCCUACGUUUGGGAUGACUUCACCAAAACUCCAAAAGGUAUUUGAGUUAAUUAGCAUGUGAACAAACGUUUAGAAUCUAAAGUAGUUGAGAUAGCUUGUCAUUAGCUUUUAACAUUUCUGUGUAUUUGGAAGGCCAGCAUGGCUACUUUUGGAUAUCUCAUCCACCUGAAAAAAAUGAGCCCUUUAAGCACAUUGUUUUUGCAUGCAUAUGUAAGGGUACACAGUGUAAGUGAGAGAUGGAAAGAAAUGAUGAGAUACCAUUUCGUAGUUAAGAGCUCUUAAGUUAAAUGGUGAAAAUACACUGUUGUGGCACAGGUGGCAAUUAACACAGGAAAAAGAAAAUGUCUGGAAAAUGUAGCGAGUAAAAUGAGCCAUCUACCAUUCACCAUCUCGGCAUCAAACAGCCUGUUGUUUAAGAAAAACUUGCCAACUCUACAGACUCUAAUGUGUUCCUUGGAAUAAGUCUGGGAGCAUUAACCAAGACCAUGAUCACUAUGAUGGUGGUCACCAUAACCCCUGCAGCAUCAUUUUGUAGCUUCUUGGAGUAUCAUUGUCUUCAUUAACUAGAAAGUAAUCUCCUAUGGCAAGCACAGCUCUCUACUGGUGCCAUAUUAACUGUGUGUAAUUGCACCUGGAGUCCUUACAUUAAAAAAAGAAAGAAAGAAAGAAAAAGUAUUGAGGUAAAUGUUUUGGGUUUUUUUGGUUUUGUUUGUUUGUUCGUUUGUUUGUUUGAGUUAGUGUUGAAAACUAUGCCCCAGGCAAGUACUCAGUCUGCUGGGUGCGUUCAAGGACUAAGGCUGCUAUUCAUGUUGGAGAACCUUACUAGAAAAUUCCUUUUCCAUGCCAAAUAAGGAACCUAAGGGAUGAUUCAUUUCUGGGUAAAAUAAAACAAAUGCCUAAUGAUUACACAUCCUGCUAAGAAGCUCUUUUUCCUGAGGAACAUUUACAUUUCCUACCAAUUUGGGUUGUAGAAUUUAAAUGCAUUAACAAUACUAUUGGCUUUAAAAAACAAAACACAACUAAAACUCUUAGAAAAUUCCAUUCCUUUUAAGUUUUAGGAAAUAAUGCUGAUAGACAGUACUGCUCUUCUAAAUGAUGCAAAUUUUUAAAUGGACAUCAUUUAAAUGAAACUUCAGUUUAUUGAAUGACAUUUGUUCUAUUCUACUUUAAAACUGCUGUGUUUCAAUGUCUCCCCUGAUGUGGAUACAAUAGCUAUAGAAUUAAGGAGGGACCAUAACUUCCCAUAACCGCACUUGAUAUUUUCACUGUAUCUGUAAAGCCAUGUCACAGGUAACGCCAGCCUUUCAUUGCAAGAACUUUUGUCCUAGGGGGAACAGACAUUUGGACAGUUGACCUCCAGGCCAUGAUCUCAUAUUUGAAGUCGAAUUUUCUAAGCAGUUUUUGCAGUUGGAGAACAGAAUUCCUCUUUCAAAGUUACUCAUCGUUUAUGAAAAUUUCUAUCACUCCCACCUGCUUGUAAAGACAGCCACUAAGAAGCUGAGGAUUCCAUAUCACUUCAUAUCUGUCCAUAUUCAGUGAAACUCCAUUGUUUCACCAAUUGUUUAUUUAAAGAUAACUUACUUGUGUUUUAUAAUUGCCAUACCAUUUCAGAUACAAAAAAAAAAAAAAAAAAAACCCAACAACAACAAAAAGAUUGACAAGCUAAUUGGCAAGCUUGCAAACUGCCAAAUACAUGGAAGUACCGCUGCAUAUUAUGCCAAAGCACCAGUUUCAGUCUCUCUCAAAGCACUUGGAUGGGGAAAGACUUGUUUAUAUAUUAAGUAUUGUCUUCAAGGAUCAGACGUGUAGGACAAACAAGAAUUUCUCAUUGUCCAAGUGUCUAGAGAGGUGGCAUUUUAGAAGAGAUGUUAACUUCUCCAGAACACGUGAUUCUCUCCAAGGAUAUGUAGCAAUAAUUUACUGAAAUGAAACUCCGUGUUCUGGAAGAGUUAAUAGGGUGCCCAAAAUUCCUUGUCUUGGUCUUAGGAAGUAAUGUAAGCCCAGAAGAACCUCGCAAAGCAUCCGGCAAACCUUCCAACCUCACACUGAAGCAGAUAUUUCCAAGAUUUCCUUCACUGAGUACCAAGUAUUAAAAUAUUAGAUCAUGAUUUGCAGGUAAACCUCCAAACUCAACCUUUUCUGAUUAUUGGUAUGCUCCAUCCUAGAUUUUCAAGUUUUUGCUUGCUUUAUCCAUUGUGAAGUGCUGAUGGCAUUCAAGUUAGGACGUUAUCGUCUAUCAAACAGAGGGGCCUUUCAAACCCUAGAAGAAAACAGUGGUGAAUCUUUUAGAACUGUGGAGUAUUUUAUAUACUGUAGUGUGUUUUCCCCUUGAUAGAAGAGAUUUUUAAAAACUUGUGAACCCCAUACUUUUUCUUGUUUAAAUUGGACUGUGUUCCCCCCCCCCACAGAAUGUGAAACAGAAAAUAUCAUUUUAUGUCCCAAUCUCCCCAAGGAGGAACUCACCUAAAUUAUCAGUCAAGAUUUGUCUAAAGGUUUCGUGGGCUGACCUACAUCAUGUGGAAGUCUGUUGAAAGAAUAUAUAGCUACAUGUUUUCUGGUGGGUUCUUGCAGUGACCAUGAACCUCUUUGAAGGCUGAGCAUGAGUACUCUAUGACAGAGCUAUUCUCAACUAAGUUUGUAUCUCAUAAAUGUCUUUCUUCCAAUUUAUUUCCAAUUGUUUUCCACAGAAAUGAACUUACAUGUUUUAUUUUGUAUUGUGAAAGAAAGAAGUGUGAUACCCGUAGCUUCUACGAUGCUAUAAUAGCCAUUCUUGUAUGUUGAUCUUGAGUGUAAGAGCUAUGUCCAUUCUGUAAUUAUCCAUUGCACUUUACCAUAACAAGCUAAUCCUUCUAGGCUUGCGAUUCGAGCUGGGGAUUAAUUAUUGCCAUUCAGAAUUGUGUGUAUUUUUAUAUGUUGACUGUAAAUAUUGUUAUUACAGUCAAAUAUUUUUAUGACCAAAUAUUUAUAAAUGCAUGGCACAAUGCACGCAUGAUUACUAGUAUGUAGAUGAUUAAAGACACUAUUUUCAGGGUUAUUACACUUUUUAUUAAAAUUCUCAUAUUCUCUAUC